This 253-nucleotide ribosomal RNA is filed under the name uncultured bacterium. RNAcentral's name for it is "partial 16S ribosomal RNA". It matches the Rfam family "Bacterial small subunit ribosomal RNA", at positions 524 to 776 of the family's 1533-position model. The record is from RNAcentral.
UACGGAGGGUGCGAGCGUUAAUCGGAAUUACUGGGCGUAAAGCGCACGCAGGCGGUAAUUUAAGUUAGAUGUGAAAGCCCAGGGCUUAACCUUGGAAUAGCAUUUAAGACUGGAUUGCUAGAGUUUUGUAGAGGGGUGUGGAAUUCCAAGUGUAGCGGUGAAAUGCGUAGAUAUUUGGAGGAACAUCAGUGGCGAAGGCGGCACCCUGGACAAAGACUGACGCUCAUGUGCGAAAGUGUGGGUAGCGAACAGG